UACGUAGGGACCGAGCGUUGUCCGGAUUUAUUGGGCGUAAAGAGCUCGUAGGCGGCUUGUCGCGUCGUCUGUGAAAUCCCGCGGCUCAACCGCGGGUCUGCAGUCGAUACGGGCAGGCUAGAGUUCGGUAGGGGAGACUGGAAUUCCUGGUGUAGCGGUGAAAUGCGCAGAUAUCAGGAGGAACACCGGUGGCGAAGGCGGGUCUCUGGGCCGAUACUGACGCUGAGGAGCGAAAGCGUGGGGAGCGAACAGG
This 253-nucleotide ribosomal RNA is filed under the name uncultured bacterium. RNAcentral describes it as "partial 16S ribosomal RNA". It matches the Rfam family "Bacterial small subunit ribosomal RNA", at positions 524 to 776 of the family's 1533-position model. The record is from RNAcentral.